CCUACGGGACGCAGCAGUGGGGAAUAUUGGACAAUGGGCGAAAGCCUGAUCCAGCCAUGCCGCGUGUGUGAAGAAGGCCUUCGGGUUGUAAAGCACUUUCAGUGGGGAAGAAAGCCUUGGGGCUAAUACCCUCGAGGAAGGACAUCACCCACAGAAGAAGCACCGGCUAACUCCGUGCCAGCAGCCGCGGUAAUACGGAGGGUGCGAGCGUUAAUCGGAAUUACUGGGCGUAAAGCGCGCGUAGGCGGUCUGAUAAGCCGGUUGUGAAAGCCCCGGGCUCAACCUGGGAACGGCAUCCGGAACUGUCAGGCUAGAGUGCAGGCGAGGAAGGUAGAAUUCCCGGUGUAGCGGUGAAAUGCGUAGAGAUCGGGAGGAAUACCAGUGGCGAAGGCGGCCUUCUGGACUGACACUGACGCUGAGGUGCGAAAGCGUGGGUAGCAAACAGGAUUAGAUACCCGAGUAGUC
This 465-nucleotide ribosomal RNA is filed under the name Vreelandella stevensii. Its description in RNAcentral is "partial 16S ribosomal RNA". It matches the Rfam family "Bacterial small subunit ribosomal RNA", at positions 338 to 795 of the family's 1533-position model. The record is from RNAcentral. Lineage: Bacteria; Pseudomonadati; Pseudomonadota; Gammaproteobacteria; Oceanospirillales; Halomonadaceae.